This 440-nucleotide ribosomal RNA is filed under the name uncultured bacterium. Its description in RNAcentral is "partial 16S ribosomal RNA". It matches the Rfam family "Bacterial small subunit ribosomal RNA", at positions 338 to 795 of the family's 1533-position model. The record is from RNAcentral.
CCUACGGGAGGCAGCAGUGGGGGAUAUUGCACAAUGGGGGAAACCCUGAUGUAGCGACGCCGCGUGUGGGAAGACGGUCUUCUGGAUUGUAAACCACUGUCCCCAGGGACGAAAAUGACGGUACCUGGGGAGGAAGCGCCGGCUAACUACGUGCCAGCAGCCGCGGUAAUACGUAGGGAGCAAGCGUUGUCCGGAAUUACUGGGUGUAAAGGGAGCGUAGGCGGGGAUGCAAGUUGGGUGUAAAAACUACCGGCUCAACCGAUAGUCGCACUCAAAACUGCAACUCUUGAGUGAAGUAGAGGCAGGCGGAAUUCCUAGUGUAGCGGUGAAAUGCGUAGAUAUUAGGAGGAACACCGGUGGCGAAGGCGGCCUGCUGGACUGUGACUGACGUUGAGGCCCGAAGGCGUGGGGAGCAAACAGGAGUAGAUACCCCUGUAGUC